CCCUUAGAUGUCCUGGGCCGCACGCGCGUUACACUGAUGCAUUCAACGAGCUUAUAACCUUGGCCGAGAGGCCUGGGCAAUCUUGUUAACGUGCAUCGUGAUAGGGAUAGAUUAUUGAAAUUAUUAAUCUUGAACGAGGAAUUCCUAGUAAACGCAGAUCAGCAAUCUGCAUUGAUUACGUCCCUGCCCUUUGUACACACCGCCCGUCGCACCUACCGAUUGGAUGGUCCGGUGAAGCCUCGGGAUUGUGGUUCUUGCCGCUUUAUUGUGGCGUGACCGCGAGAACUUGUCUAAACCUUAUCAUCUAGAGGAAGGUGAAGUCGUAACA
This 328-nucleotide ribosomal RNA is filed under the name uncultured eukaryote. RNAcentral describes it as "partial 18S ribosomal RNA". It matches the Rfam family "Eukaryotic small subunit ribosomal RNA", at positions 1470 to 1796 of the family's 1831-position model. The record is from RNAcentral.